UACGGAGGAUGCGAGCGUUAUCCGGAUUUAUUGGGUUUAAAGGGUGCGCAGGCGGGAUGUUAAGUCAGCGGUAAAAUUUCGGGGCUCAACCUCGACGAGCCGUUGAAACUGACGUUCUUGAGUGGACGAGAAGUAUGCGGAAUGCGUAGUGUAGCGGUGAAAUGCAUAGAUAUUACGCAGAACUCCGAUUGCGAAGGCAGCAUACCGGCGUCCAACUGACGCUCAUGCACGAAAGCGUGGGUAUCGAACAGGAUUAGAUA
RNAcentral lists this ribosomal RNA (260 nucleotides) under uncultured prokaryote. RNAcentral's name for it is "partial 16S ribosomal RNA". It matches the Rfam family "Bacterial small subunit ribosomal RNA", at positions 524 to 784 of the family's 1533-position model. The record is from RNAcentral.